Molecule: unclassified non-coding RNA, 209 nt
Filed under: Hevea brasiliensis (rubber tree)
Lineage: Eukaryota; Viridiplantae; Streptophyta; Magnoliopsida; Malpighiales; Euphorbiaceae
Source: RNAcentral
UUCGGCGAACUGGAGAAAACAUGUGGAAGAAAGUUUGGUGCUAAUGCUUCUAUGUCUAAAUGGAAGACAAAAGGGAAGGGAGUAAUUUAACGAAACAUUGUUGGUGGCAGGAGCGGUAAGCAGUCGUGGCGGGAGUGGGGCUCUCAACGGCGGCGUUUUGAGGACAGUUGCCAUUGAAGCGCGGAGUAAGAGCGGUGGAAUUGAAAGAG